This 301-nucleotide ribosomal RNA is filed under the name uncultured bacterium. Its description in RNAcentral is "partial 16S ribosomal RNA". It matches the Rfam family "Bacterial small subunit ribosomal RNA", at positions 509 to 809 of the family's 1533-position model. The record is from RNAcentral.
CAGCAGCCGCGGGAAAACGAAGGUCCCAAGCGUUGUUCGGAAUCACUGGGCGCAAAGGGAGCGUAGGCGGCGUGGUAAGUCAGAUGUGAAAUCCCGGGGCUCAACCCCGGAACUGCAUCCGAUACUGCCAUGCUUGAGGGUUGGAGAGGUAGCUGGAAUUCUCGGUGUAGCAGUGAAAUGCGUGGAUAUCGAGAGGAACACUCGUGGCGAAGGCGAGCUACUGGACAACAUCUGACGCUGAGGCUCGAAGGCUAGGGUAGCGAAAGGGAUUAGAUACCCCUGUAGUCCCUGUCCUCUUAUA